This 75-nucleotide antisense RNA is filed under the name Micromonospora echinofusca. RNAcentral's name for it is "ASpks TB sRNA". It matches the Rfam family "ASpks TB sRNA". The record is from Rfam by way of RNAcentral. Lineage: Bacteria; Bacillati; Actinomycetota; Actinomycetes; Micromonosporales; Micromonosporaceae.
CUUCACCGACCCCAACAGCAACGGCCGAUCGACGGGGCGCUCCUGCCCAUACGUCGCCAGCAGAGCCUGCGCCUC